UCGGUCCGAGAUCGAAAGAGCCUUGGAUCAACUUGAAUUGGCAAAGAUUAAAGAACAAAAAGAUCUCUUGGCCGAACAGAUUAGCCCCCUGAUUGAAUCAGAGAAGGCACGCCUUGUUCGAAGGAAGUGGCACCGCAACUUGGAUGAACUUCCAUCACCAAGUGAAAUGGUGGAAAUCAUUAUUGACCGCUUCGGCAUCAUACAAAAUUUUAGAGGAUUCAAAGACGGUCGUCGAAUUCAUGCAAAUGGUGUGGAAUAUAAUAUAUGAAAAUUUUAAAUUGUCCUGGCUUCAUGCUUCAUGGCCCUAAAAUUAAAAACCUUCCUUUGAUCUCAACAUAUCCGCGGCUGAAGAAGAGCCAGGGGAUCGGUCCGAGAUCGAAAGAGC
RNAcentral lists this long non-coding RNA (385 nucleotides) under Nicotiana benthamiana. Its description in RNAcentral is "long non-coding RNA (NBEN_LNC027972)". The record is from RNAcentral. Lineage: Eukaryota; Viridiplantae; Streptophyta; Magnoliopsida; Solanales; Solanaceae.